RNAcentral lists this ribosomal RNA (379 nucleotides) under Strombidiidae sp. RNAcentral describes it as "partial small subunit ribosomal RNA". It matches the Rfam family "Eukaryotic small subunit ribosomal RNA", at positions 582 to 975 of the family's 1831-position model. The record is from RNAcentral. Lineage: Eukaryota; Ciliophora; Spirotrichea; Strombidiidae.
AUUCCAGCUCCAAUAGCGUAUAUUAAAGUUGUUGCAGUUAAAAAGCUCGUAGUUGGAUUUCUGGCGGGGACCCAAGUACCCCUGGUGGGUGUGCUCGGGCCCGGCCAUCCUUCUGUAAACUUUCGCGCGUCCUUCACCGGUCGGCAAAGGGAUCAGAUAAUUUACCUUGGGAAAAUUAGAGUGUUUCAGGCAGGCUUAGCCGGAAUACAUUAGCAUGGAAUAAUGGAAUAGGACUGAGGUCUCGUUGUUGGUUACGCGGACUACAGUAAUGAUUAAUAGGGACAGUUGGGGGCAUUAGUAUUUAAUAGCUAGAGGUGGAAUUCUCUAAUUUGUUAAAGACUAACUUAUGCGAAAGCAUUUGCCAAGGAUGUUUUCAUUG